GGGAACAUGCAGCACUGGAGCCUCGCCACC
RNAcentral lists this non-coding RNA (30 nucleotides) under Cricetulus griseus (Chinese hamster). Lineage: Eukaryota; Metazoa; Chordata; Mammalia; Rodentia; Cricetidae. The record is from RNAcentral.